Molecule: transfer RNA, 98 nt
Filed under: Streptomyces sp. ADI96-02
Lineage: Bacteria; Bacillati; Actinomycetota; Actinomycetes; Kitasatosporales; Streptomycetaceae
Description: tRNA-Gly
Source: RNAcentral
CCGGAGCGUGGUCCGGUACGGGGCCGGGCUCCGGCGACCGUACGGGCUCGGGCGACCGGGGCGUCGUCUGUGCGGUGGUCGCCUCCCCGGCCCCGGGC